UCAGGAUGAACGCUAGCGGCAGGCCUAACACAUGCAAGUCGAGGGGUGGGAGGCUUGCUCUCGCUGACGACCGGCGCACGGGUGCGUAACGCGUAUACACCUACCUUUUGGAGGGGAAUAGCCCAGGGAAACUUGGAUUAAUGCCCCAUAGUAUCUCCUGAUUAAACAUUUGGCCAUUAGAUGGGUAUGCGUCCUAUUAGUUAGUUGGUAAGGUAACGGCUUACCAAGGCAGCGAUAGGUAGGGGUCCUGAGAGGGAGAUCCCCCACACUGGUACUGAGACACGGACCAGACUCCUACGGGAGGCAGCAGUGAGGAAUAUUGGACAAUGGGCGAGAGCCUGAUCCAGCCAUGCCGCGUGCAGGAAGACUGCCUAUGGGUUGUAAACUGCUUUUACAGAGGAAGAACACUCCCACGUGUGGGAGUUUGACGGUACUCUGCGAAUAAGGAUCGGCUAACUCCGUGCCAGCAGCCGCGGUAAUACGGAGGAUCCAAGCGUUAUCCGGAAUCAUUGGGUUUAAAGGGUCCGUAGGCGGGCAGUUAAGUCAGUGGUGAAAGUCUUCCGCUCAACGGAAGAACUGCCAUUGAUACUGAUUGUCUUGAGUAUUAUGAAGUGGUUAGAAUGAGUAGUGUAGCGGUGAAAUGCAUAGAUAUUACUCAGAAUACCGAUUGCGAAGGCAGAUCACUAAUAAUAUACUGACGCUGAUGGACGAAAGCGUAGGUAGCGAACAGGAUUAGAUACCCUGGUAGUCUACGCCGUAAACGAUGGUUACUAGCUGUUCGGCAUUAAGGGCUGAGUGGUUAAGCGAAAGUGAUAAGUAACCCACCUGGGGAGUACGUUCGCAAGAAUGAAACUCAAAGGAAUUGACGGGGGCCCGCACAAGCGGUGGAGCAUGUGGUUUAAUUCGAUGAUACGCGAGGAACCUUACCAGGGCUUAAAUGUGUCUGACAGGAGUGGAAACACUUUUUUCUUCGGACAGAUUACAAGGUGCUGCAUGGUUGUCGUCAGCUCGUGCCGUGAGGUGUCAGGUUAAGUCCUAUAACGAGCGCAACCCCUGUGGUUAGUUGCCAGCGAGUAAUUCGGGAACUCUAGCCAGACUGCCGGUGCAAACCGGAGGAAGGUGGGGAUGACGUCAAGUCCUCAUGGCCCUUACGGGUUGGGCUACACACGUGCUACAAUGGCAGUGACAAUGGGUUAAUCCCAAAAAGCUGUCUCAGUUCGGAUUGGGGUCUGCAACUCGACCCCAUGAAGUCGGAAUCGCUAGUAAUCGCGUAACAGAUGACGCGGUGAAUACGUUCCCGGGCCUUGUACACACCGCCCGUCACACCAUGGGAGUUGGUUCUACCCGACGGCCGUGCGCUAACCUUUGGAGGCAGCGGACCACGGUGGGUUCAGCGACUGGGGUG
Molecule: ribosomal RNA, 1405 nt
Filed under: uncultured Bacteroidota bacterium
Lineage: Bacteria; Pseudomonadati; Bacteroidota
Description: bacterial SSU rRNA
Rfam family: Bacterial small subunit ribosomal RNA
Source: RNAcentral